AUACUUACCUGGCAGGGGAGAUGCUAUGAUCAAGAAGGUGGUUUCCCCAGGGCGAUGCUCAUCCAUUGCACUUCGGGAGUGCUGACCCCUGCGAUUUUCCCAAAUGUGGGAAACUCGACUCCAUAAUUUGUGGUAUUGGGGGACUGUGUUCCGGCUCUCCCUGU
Small nuclear RNA from Suncus etruscus (white-toothed pygmy shrew), 164 nucleotides. RefSeq annotates it as U1 spliceosomal RNA. NCBI's taxonomy places the organism in Eukaryota, Metazoa, Chordata, Mammalia, Eulipotyphla, Soricidae. The record is from RefSeq and is a predicted model, not a curated record. The transcript has a single exon.